Molecule: ribosomal RNA, 253 nt
Filed under: uncultured bacterium
Lineage: Bacteria
Description: partial 16S ribosomal RNA
Rfam family: Bacterial small subunit ribosomal RNA
Source: RNAcentral
UACGAGGGGGGCGAGCGUUGUUCGGAAUUAUUGGGCGUAAAGGGUGCGUAGGCGGUUUGGUAAGUCUGAUGUGAAAUCUAUGGGCUCAACUCAUAGUCUGCAUCGGAAACUGCCGGGCUUGAGUGUGGGAGAGGUGAGUGGAAUUCCUGGUGUAGCGGUGAAAUGCGUAGAGAUUGGGAAGAACACCGGUGGCGAAAGCGCUCUACUGGGCCUGCACUGACACUGAGGGACGAAAGCUAGGGGAGCGAAAGGG